UGGAUUUACAAUGGAAUGUCAUUUACAUAUCAAAAGAGGUUGUCAUCAAAAGGCACAGCAUAGAUGGCAAGCCUUUCCACUGUCACAGAUAUGUAACAAAUAAUGUGUCCAUCUUUAUUAUGAAAGGAGUCAUGUUACUAGGAGAUUAGAAGAUCAGAGUAAUUAACAUCUAGGUGUAACCAUACAAGAAUAUGUUUUCCAAAGCCAUCCUGUCUCUAAAGCUGUCCAGGCCUGCUUCCAACCUACCGAGAUACCACCUUAACUGGCCACUUCUUACGGAAUGUUCCGGUUUAGCUGGAGGGAAGAGAUCAAAG
This is a non-coding RNA of Pelobates cultripes (western spadefoot toad), 314 nucleotides long. The record is from the annotation of a GenBank genome assembly. NCBI's taxonomy places the organism in Eukaryota, Metazoa, Chordata, Amphibia, Anura, Pelobatidae.